RNAcentral lists this ribosomal RNA (497 nucleotides) under uncultured bacterium. Its description in RNAcentral is "partial 16S ribosomal RNA". It matches the Rfam family "Bacterial small subunit ribosomal RNA", at positions 28 to 507 of the family's 1533-position model. The record is from RNAcentral.
GACGAACGCUGGCGGCGUGCCUAAUACAUGCAAGUAGAACGCUGAAGCUUGGUGCUUGCACCGAGCGGAUGAGUUGCGCACGGGUGAGUAACGCGUAGGUAACCUGCCUGGUAGCGGGGGAUAACUAUUGGAAACGAUAGCUAAUACCGCAUAAGAGUAGAUGUUGCAUGACAUUUGCUUAAAAGGUGCAAUUGCAUCACUACCAGAUGGACCUGCGUUGUAUUAGCUAGUUGGUGAGGUAACGGCUCACCAAGGCAACGAUACAUAGCCGACCUGAGAGGGUGAUCGGCCACACUGGGACUGAGACACGGCCCAGACGCCUACGGGAGGCAGCAGUAGGGAAUCGUCGGCAAUGGACGGAAGUCUGACCGAGCAACGCCGCGUGAGGGAAGAAGGUUGUCGGAUCGUAAAGCUCGGUUGUAAGAGAAGAACGAGUGUGAGAGUGGAAAGUUCACACUGUGACGGUAUCUGACCAGAAAGGGACGGCUAACUACGUG